UGGGGAAUAUUGGACAAUGGGCGAAAGCCUGAUCCAGCCAUGCCGCGUGUGUGAAGAAGGUCUUCGGAUUGUAAAGCACUUUAAGUUGGGAGGAAGGGCAUUAACCUAAUACGUUAGUGUUUUGACGUUACCGACAGAAUAAGCACCGGCUAACUCUGUGCCAGCAGCCGCGGUAAUACAGAGGGUGCAAGCGUUAAUCGGAAUUACUGGGCGUAAAGCGCGCGUAGGUGGUUUGUUAAAUUGGAUGUGAAAGCCCCGGGCUCAACCUGGGAACUGCAUCCAAAACUGGCAAGCUAGAGUACGGUAGAGGGUGGUGGAAUUUCCUGUGUAGCGGUGAAAUGCGUAGAUAUAGGAAGGAACACCAGUGGCGAAGGCGACCACCUGGACUGAUACUGACACUGAGGUGCGAAAGCGUGGGGAGCAAACA
This 427-nucleotide ribosomal RNA is filed under the name uncultured bacterium. RNAcentral describes it as "partial 16S ribosomal RNA". It matches the Rfam family "Bacterial small subunit ribosomal RNA", at positions 355 to 774 of the family's 1533-position model. The record is from RNAcentral.